CAGUAGCCGCGGUAAUACGAAGGGUGCAAGCGUUACUCGGAAUUACUGGGCGUAAAGCGUGCGUAGGUGGUGGUUUAAGUCCGUUGUGAAAGCCCUGGGCUCAACCUGGGAAUUGCAGUGGAUACUGGGUCACUAGAGUGUGGUAGAGGAUAGUGGAAUUUCCGGUGUAGCAGUGAAAUGCGUAGAGAUCGGAAGGAACAUCUGUGGCGAAGGCGACUAUCUGGGCCAACACUGGCACUGAGGCACGAAAGCGUGGGGAGCAAACAGGAUUAGAUACCCGUGUAGUCCCUGUCUCUUAUAC
Molecule: ribosomal RNA, 301 nt
Filed under: uncultured bacterium
Lineage: Bacteria
Description: partial 16S ribosomal RNA
Rfam family: Bacterial small subunit ribosomal RNA
Source: RNAcentral